Molecule: ribosomal RNA, 423 nt
Filed under: uncultured microorganism
Description: bacterial SSU rRNA
Rfam family: Bacterial small subunit ribosomal RNA
Source: RNAcentral
GAGUUUGAUCGUGGCUCAGAUUGAACGCUGGCGGCAUGCCUUACACAUGCAAGUCGAACGGCAGCAUGAUCUAGCUUGCUAGAUUGAUGGCGAGUGGCGAACGGGUGAGUAAUACAUCGGAACGUGCCCUGUAGUGGGGAGUAACUAGUCGAAAGAAUUAGUCUAAUAACCGCCAUACGACCUCGAGGGUGGAAAGUAGGGGGACCGGCGAAGGCCUCAUGCUAUAGGAGCGGCCGAUGUCUGAUUAGCUAGUUGGUGGGGUAAAGGGCCCGACCAACGGCGACGAUCAGUAGCUGGUCUGAGAGGACGAUCAGCCACACUGGGACUGAGACACGGCCCAGACUCCUACGGGAGGCAGCAGUGGGGAAUUUUGGACAAUGGGCGAAAGCCUGAUCCAGCAAUGCCGCGUGUGUGAAGAAGGCC